This 128-nucleotide small nucleolar RNA is filed under the name Sorex araneus (European shrew). Its description in RNAcentral is "Small nucleolar RNA SNORA70 (ENSSARG00000020260.1)". It matches the Rfam family "Small nucleolar RNA SNORA70". From Rfam's summary of the family: snoRNA U70 seems to be exclusive to mammals and is a member of the H/ACA class of snoRNA which contain H (ANANNA) and ACA box motifs. H/ACA box snoRNAs are involved in the conversion of uridines to pseudouridines (5-ribosyluracil) a constituent of structural RNAs (transfer, ribosomal, small nuclear, and small nucleolar). The record is from RNAcentral. Lineage: Eukaryota; Metazoa; Chordata; Mammalia; Eulipotyphla; Soricidae.
UUGCAGUCAUUACACAGACUGUUAUUUCCCACGGAGCCAAUGUACACUAUCUACAAAUAGCAGCCCCUGUGGGAGUACCUACUGCCUGUUUCUGGCAUAGGUUGCCCUCAGGGACCUUGGAGACAGUC